Pseudopipra pipra is the source of this 497-nucleotide long non-coding RNA. RefSeq lists it as uncharacterized. Lineage: Eukaryota; Metazoa; Chordata; Aves; Passeriformes; Pipridae. The record is from RefSeq and is a predicted model, not a curated record. The transcript is spliced from 3 exons.
CACUCCUGGGGCACUCACCUUCUGCUUCUCCUUUGCCUGUUCUUUAUAUUUUCCCAAAAGCUGCCUAUAAUUCACAUCUGGACACGUGCUCCUUUCCUGCACAAAAACAUCCCAAGACCUGCUCUGGCUGAGCAAAUUUCCCUGCCAGGAGCAGAACAAGAGGUUACAAUAGAUCUACUGCUUUUCCCUCUGGAAAUGGACCCAUCAAUGAUGUUCAUGGGAGCAACUUGCAGCUUAACAGCUCUGGCAUUAGCACAGAAAGGCAGUUCCCAGGACAUGAGAAUGCCAGCAGGGUCUUCAGAGGAACUAUGAGCGUGGUGCUCUUGCAGAACCAACAGGGGCCACACCCUCCUUUUAUAAGCUUUGGGACUAUGAAGAGGAGGUCAGACUUGUACUGGGGAACUCUUUUUGCAGCCUUGCAUGUUGGGGACGUUCUCCUUCAAACCACAUUUGAUGGAAACCACAAAAAAGCCCACUGCUAAUGUGUGGUACAGCCA